Molecule: ribosomal RNA, 253 nt
Filed under: uncultured bacterium
Lineage: Bacteria
Description: partial 16S ribosomal RNA
Rfam family: Bacterial small subunit ribosomal RNA
Source: RNAcentral
UACGAAGGGGGCUAGCGUUGAUCGGAAUCACUGGGCGUAAAGGGUGCGUAGGCGGGUCUUUAAGUCAGGGGUGAAAUCCUGGAGCUCAACUCCAGAACUGCCUUUGAUACUGAAGAUCUUGAGUUCGGGAGAGGUGAGUGGAACUGCGAGUGUAGAGGUGAAAUUCGUAGAUAUUCGCAAGAACACCAGUGGCGAAGGCGGCUCACUGGCCCGGUACUGACGCUGAGGUGCGAAAGCGUGGGGAGCAAACAGG